Molecule: ribosomal RNA, 795 nt
Filed under: uncultured bacterium
Lineage: Bacteria
Description: bacterial SSU rRNA
Rfam family: Bacterial small subunit ribosomal RNA
Source: RNAcentral
AGAGUUUGAUCAUGGCUCAGAUUGAACGCUGGCGGCGUGCCUAACACAUGCAAGUCGAGCGGUAACAGGUGUAGCAAUACAUGCUGACGAGCGGCGAACGGGUGAGUAAUGCUUUGGAAUCUUCCCAGUAGUGGGGAAUAACCAGUCGAAAGAUUGGCUAAUACCGCAUACGUCUGUAAAGGGAAAGCGGGGGCUCGUAAGACCUCGCGCUAUUGGAUGAGCCAAAGUCGGAUUAGCUAGUUGGUGGGGUAAUGGCCUACCAAGGCGACAAUCCGUAGCUGGUCUGAGAGGACGACCAGCCACACCGGAACUGAGACACGGUCCGGACUCCUACGGGAGGCAGCAGUGGGGAAUAUUGGACAAUGGGGGAAACCCUGAUCCAGCGACGCCGCGUGUGUGAAGAAGGCCUGCGGGUUGUAAAGCACUUUUAGUGGGGACAAAAAGCCAUGGAUUAAUACUCUGUGGUCUUGAUUUAACCCAAAGAAAAAGCACCGGCUAACUCUGUGCCAGCAGCCGCGGUAAUACAGAGGGUGCGAGCGUUAAUCGGAAUUACUGGGCGUAAAGCGCGCGUAGACGGUUUUGUAAGUCAGAUGUGAAAUCCCUGGGCUCAACCUGGGAACUGCAUUUGAAACUGCAUGGCUAGAGUAUCGAAGAGGGAAGUGGAAUUUCCGGUGUAGCGGUGAAAUGCGUAGAUAUCGGAAGGAACACCAGUGGCGAAAGCGACUUCCUGGUCGAAUACUGACGUUCAUGUGCGAAAGCGUGGGGAGCAAACAGGAUUAGAUACCCUAGUAGUCC